CACGAGGUAACUUCAAAAGAUGACCCACUAGGUACAGUGAAGAAGAGCUCUAGCGAACUAGAAUGUGGUACCCAAUCAGACAGCAGGUGGUGUUUUUUUGAGCUGCGACUGAAUUCCACUAGAAGUUCCACUGAAAUUGACAUAUUAAAUUACUUCAUGCUGAUCAUGUUGUGGCAAUAAAGAAGAAAUGAAUUAAAGACGGAGCACUUUGUUAUCUAGAAAGCAUCCCUUACUCCAGCAUUGCAUUGAUGAGGCUCCUCCAGGCUGAAGAUCUGGGAUGUUAGUGGUCAGGGAAAGGCAAGGCAAGAAGAGCGGUCAAUCUGAAAAAGGACCCACUGUUCUAACUUGCCUGCCUGUCAGGAGGGUGUUUGAAGCUUGCGAGCAGACCCUUUUAAAUGAAAUGAUUCAUUUCCCAACACUGUCCAGCCGCACAGAUAGAACUGCUCUGCUGCGUCUGGAUCUUAAGGUUU
Molecule: non-coding RNA, 470 nt
Organism: Chrysemys picta bellii (western painted turtle)
Lineage: Eukaryota; Metazoa; Chordata; Testudines; Emydidae
Source: RefSeq, a predicted model, not a curated record